RNAcentral lists this ribosomal RNA (519 nucleotides) under uncultured Escherichia sp. RNAcentral describes it as "bacterial SSU rRNA". It matches the Rfam family "Bacterial small subunit ribosomal RNA", at positions 81 to 596 of the family's 1533-position model. Lineage: Bacteria; Pseudomonadati; Pseudomonadota; Gammaproteobacteria; Enterobacterales; Enterobacteriaceae. The record is from RNAcentral.
UUCUUUGCUGACGAGUGGCGGACGGGUGAGUAAUGUCUGGGAAACUGCCUGAUGGAGGGGGAUAACUACUGGAAACGGUAGCUAAUACCGCAUAACGUCGCAAGACCAAAGAGGGGGACCUUCGGGCCUCUUGCCAUCGGAUGUGCCCAGAUGGGAUUAGCUAGUAGGUGGGGUAACGGCUCACCUAGGCGACGAUCCCUAGCUGGUCUGAGAGGAUGACCAGCCACACUGGAACUGAGACACGGUCCAGACUCCUACGGGAGGCAGCAGUGGGGAAUAUUGCACAAUGGGCGCAAGCCUGAUGCAGCCAUGCCGCGUGUAUGAAGAAGGCCUUCGGGUUGUAAAGUACUUUCAGCGGGGAGGAAGGGAGUAAAGUUAAUACCUUUGCUCAUUGACGUUACCCGCAGAAGAAGCACCGGCUAACUCCGUGCCAGCAGCCGCGGUAAUACGGAGGGUGCAAGCGUUAAUCGGAAUUACUGGGCGUAAAGCGCACGCAGGCGGUUUGUUAAGUCAGAUGUG